This 1746-nucleotide non-coding RNA is filed under the name Geum urbanum. Its description in RNAcentral is "bacterial SSU rRNA". It matches the Rfam family "Bacterial small subunit ribosomal RNA". The record is from RNAcentral. Lineage: Eukaryota; Viridiplantae; Streptophyta; Magnoliopsida; Rosales; Rosaceae.
AGUAUGGUAGCGAAGCCUAAGAUUAGAUUACUAGUUUGGUUAACACAGGCUCUACGAUUAAAUCUCAGAUCUGAAAGAAUAUAACUCAAUAUAAAUCUCAGAUAGAACAUUGUUUUUGGGUGUGCGCCUUGAGAACAAAGUGGUGAACAGGUGCUUAACGUGUGGGAAUCUACCGAAUAGUUCAGGCCCAAAUUAUGAAGAAAUCUAAAAGCGAUAUUUGAUGAGCCUGCAUAGUAUUAGGGCAGUUGGUUAGGUAAAGGUUGGCCAAGCCAAUGAUACUUAGCUAGUCUGUUUGGAUGAUCAACCAUAUUGGGACUGAGACGCGACUCGGACUCCCAUAGGCAGCAGUGGGGAAUCUUGGACAAUGGGCGAAAUUUCAAUCCACCAACAUUGCAUGAGUGAAGAAGGGAAAUUUCGCUUGUAAAGCUCUUUUAUCAAGUGCGCAAUCAUGACAGGACUCAAGGAAGAAGCUCUGGCUAACUCCGUGCCAGCAGUCGCGGUAAGACGGGGGGAGGGGGGAAGUAUUCUUCGGAAUGACUGGUUGUAAAUGGUACAUAGGCGGUAAAAUGGGUUGAAAGUGAAAGUCACUAAAAAAGUGGUGGAAUGCUCUCGAAACCAAUUCACUUGAGUGAGACCGAGGAGAGUGGAAUCUUGUGUGUGGGGGUGAAAUCCGAAGAUCUACUAAGGAAGGCCAAAAGCGAAGGUAGUUCUCUGGGUCCCUACCGACGCUAGAGUGCGAAAGCAUAGGGAGCGAACAAGAAUAGAUACCCUGGUAGUCCAUGUCAUAAAUGAUGAGUGUUCACCCUUGGUCUAUGCAAAUCAGGGGCCCAGCUAAUGCGUGAAACACUCCACCUAGGGAGUAUGGUUGCUAGACCGAAACUCAAAGGAAUUGACGAGGGCCUGCACAAGCGUUGGAGCAUGUGGUUUAAUUUGAUAUAUGAACAACUAAACAUGUCCUUAACAGGAUGGUACUUACUUUCAUACAGGUGUUGCAUGGCUGUCAUCAGCUCAUGUCAUGAGAUGUUUGGUCAAGUAUUAUAACGAGCGAAACCCUCAUUUUAUGUUGCUGAGACAUGCGCCUAAGGGGAAAGUCUUUGUAACUGAAGUCAGCUGAGCUUCCGAGUGACAUGCCAAUGCUACUAAUUGAGUGCCAGCACGUAGCUGUGCUGUCAGUAAGAAUAAAGUCGUCGCCUUUCUCGCGCGUUUAGUAAAUUUGCCCAGGUGACGACGACGUGCAGAGAAAGACUCGUCAUUUAGGCGACCCUAUGGUAUGUAAUAAGUUUACGCUCUGAAACAAAAACAUAGGUGCAUGCCGCACUCACUAGCGACUGUCAGUGAUAUACUGGAAGAAGGUGGGGAUGGAAUCAAGUUCGCAUGGCCCUUAUGGGCUGGGCCACACACGUGUUACAAUGGAAAUUAUAAUGGGAAGCAAGACUGUAAGGCGGAGAAAAUCCAGAAAGAUUGCCUCAGUUUGGAUUGUUCUCUGCAACUCUGGAACAUGAAGUUAGAAUCGCUAGUAAUCGCAGAUCAGCAUGCCGCGGUGAAUAUGUACCCGGGACCUGUACACACCGCUCGUCACACCCUGGGAAUUGGUUUCGCUAGAAGCAUCAAACCAAUGAUCACCCGUGACUUUUGUAUAACACUAGUGACACAAAGGCUUUUGGUGGUCUUAUUGACACAUACCACAAUGGGGUCUUUCACUGGGGUGAAGUUGUAACAAGGUAGUCGUAGGGGAACUUAUGGCUG